ACAGACAUUCAGUCUGUUGCAGACAUAAAAGGCAUUGGAGGCUCCUCUCUGAUCUCUCGGAUCCCUCACUCUGGGGGAAGCCGGCUGCCAAGUUGUAAGGACAUUCAACAGUCUAUGAAGCAGCCCACAGGGGGAAGAAGUGAGGCCUCCUCCCGACAGCCAUGUGAAGGAGCCAUCUUGAAAGAAGGUCCUCCUGCCCCAGUCAAGCUUUCAGAUGACUGCAGCCCCAGCCAACAUCAUGACUACAACUCAGGAGAGACCCUGAUCCAGAACCACCGACUCCUGAAUUCCUGACCCACAGAAAAUGUUGGAAAGGAGGCAAGAUGCGAGAUGAGGGGACCAGAGAGCAGACCACUGCAGCAAUCCAGGGGAGAAAUUAUGACAACUUGGACUAAGACAGGGCCUCUGUGAACAUGACAUGCCUAUUACUGCUUGGAGACGUGACUGAACAGGAGACUGGAGUCUCUUCUGUGUGCACACAAACUUAUUUAUGCUCGGUAUUGGCUGGCUGGCUGGGAGCAUGGGACCUCAGGGAGGGCUGAGAGGUGGAAGGUAAGAUCCUAAGAGUGACUCUAUGUCAGGACCCUGGCCAGCAGCCCCUGCCACCACCAGAAACCAAGCUUGUAAAGCAAUGAAAAUUUGGAUCCUGGAGGGAACUCCAAGGGAAACUGAGUCCAAGAGGCCUCAUUUGGGAGGUGAGGACAAUAAUGGCUCUUUCCAUGCACCCUCAUUCCCAAAAGAUGACCCUUUCUCUGUCCAGGACAGGCGAAUCUAUAGAGUCAGAAAGCAGAUUAGUGGUUGCCUGUGGCUGGAGUUGGGGGUUGGGGUAUAAGAUGGUGACUGCUAAAGAGUAUAGAGUUUCUUUUUCAUGUGAUAAAAAUGUUCUAAAAUCGACUGUGGUAAUGACUAUACAUAUCUAUGAACAUACUAAAAAGCAUUGAACUAUAUGCUUUAAAUGGGUGAAUUCUAUGGUAUGUGAAUUAUAUUUCAGUAAAGCUGUUUUUAAAAAAGAUGACCUUUUCUCACCCUUAAUAGAGAAUAUAGAUGCAUUGGAUGGAAAUGCUGCUUGACAUUAUAUCAUAUAUUUAUUGGAUUGUUAUUUACCCACCUCAGCUAAACUGUUAGCUUCAUGAAGACAGAAACUUUGUUUCAUUCAUCACUGGUUCUCCGGAGCCCAAAAUAGAGCCUGAUAGAGCAGGUGCUUGAAAAAGAUUCUAUGAAUGAAUGAAUGAAUGAAUGAACAAAUGAACAUCCUGGCCAAAUCCUCAAGCUUACCAGCAUCUGAAGCAAAUCUUCUCCUUGUUCCAAUGGGAGAAGUGUUCCUCCUCCUUUCAAAGAUCCAUAGAGGUAAUAUCGUCUUACACAAGAGUAGCUUGGAAGAAGGUGCCACAAGCAACCUGUGAUAUCGGCGUCCAUGCAGAAGUCCGAUUCCCAGAAGCCUCCGUACCCACCCAUCACACCAGUACACUCCUCUUCCAUUUGAAGCGAUCCCCUUUAAACUAGCUGAGUCAGCACCAAUUAACACUCAUUAAUCCAAUUUUCGUGAAAUUGGACAAGCAGACACUGAAGUUCACAGAGCAGAACAAAUUAGUGGAAACCAGAGUAAAAUACGUCUUCCCGACUUAGCUGCUAAGGUAUAAGGGGCCCUUCCAGGGGGAAUUGGAAAGCAGGUAGCAGUUCAAGGCCACCUUGUAUGCAGGCUGCUGUCUUGCUAUCAUCAGAGGCUUGAGAAAUGGGAGGUCGUGUGAUAACAGGCCCUCUCAGGGUUUUGCGGAGCCCGAGCUCAAUGAAUGAAUCAUGGUGCCCCUUCUGGCUGGAUCAUUCCUGAUGCCUUCCACACGCAUACAUCUGCUCUCUCAACCUUGAGCUGUGAGCAGGGAUGGACUCUUCCAUCUAACAGGUGAGGGCACGAAGGCAAAAGGUAUCUACUGACUCUCUUAUGGACCCAGAGUUAAUGAAGAAGUCCUAACUGGCUAAGCUCGUGAAUUUGGAAGUCAGACCCAAGUUUGAAUACUAGCUUUUCUGGUUCCUCUCUGACCUUAGGCUGAUUACUUGUCUCCAAGUCUCAGUUUCCUCAUCUACAAAUUAAGCAGCAUCCACAAAUUAAAUUCUUGGUUUUAUACAAGGUAAUGCAUAGAAAGCAUUUCUCACAGAGCCUGGCAAAAAGUAUGUUCUCAAUAAAUGUUAGCUUAAAAAAAACCAUUCAGGUUCUAUCAUACAUUUUAUGAAAAACUCCCAUGCAGCAUGUUCUGCUGAUAAAUAACCAUCUCAAACCUUUGCUUCCCUUCCUGAAUUCCUCCUGAAUGAACCUGAGCUCGGACAGUAAGAUCUGCAUUAAAUCCACGUUGCAUACGUCCAUUCAUUCAAUGCAGCUUUGUUGAGCACCUGCUGUAUACCAGGCCCUGAGCUAGGUGUUAGUGAUACAAAAAUUAAAGGUUCUAUGCCUACCCUCAAGGGGCUUGUAACAUAGGAUGAUAUAGGAUAAAGGAGUGAGUAGGAAGGGGUAAGAGAGUGUCAAGGAAUACAAUUUCCUGAUGCUUUGACCUGCCCCAAUGCCUCAUGGAUUGCAAAUUCCUUAGUCUGCCCCAUCCUCAACCCGUCUCCCAUGGUUCCAGAAAAGCUCAUAUUGGUCUCAUCCUGCAGACAAAAGGCUUUGUAAUUGAGGAGUGGCUGAACUACUAUUUAUUUAGUCCCCCAACUAAUAUUUAUUUAGCACAUACUAUGAGUCAGGCCAUAAACUGGACACUGGGCUUGAAACAGUAAUAAAACAGACAUGGUCCCAUUCCUUGUGGCACUCAGAGUCUGACAUGGAAGGCGGCUGUUAAUAUAAUAAGCAUGUAAAUAAAUGUAAAAUUGUAACUGGGAAGCAGUCAUUGAGAGUAUAUAAUGCAAUAAGAAUGUGUAAUAGGAGGAUUGGAACUAGUCGGGGAGGUAAGAGAAGUCUUCAUGAGAAAAUGAUGCUGAAACUCAGAUGUGAUGUACGAUGAGGGAUUAACUGGCAUGAAAGGAGGGAAGAGCUUCUAGCGUGAAGACAACAGCAUGAGCAAAGGCCCUAUGAUGAGGAGGGCCCUGCAUGCAUGAGAAGCAGAAAGGACGCAGCAGCUAGACCACAGAUGUGGGAGAUUGUGGGAGAUGAUGCUAGAGUGCUGGGUAGAAACCAGGCUGCGGCAGACUCAGAAGCCUUGUUGGGAUUCUUACCCUCAGAACAAUGGGAUGCCAGAGAAGAUUUGCAAGGAUUGAGGGGCCUGAAAGGAGAGCAUGAUGCAAUGGUAUUUGGGUUUUGAGGCGUGAAUGAGCAAAGAAGCCUGGUGGGGCAAGAGUGGAGUGGACACAGAAGAGAGCAGUUGGUGUUGAAGUUGGAGAGGAAGCUAGAUCCUGCACAACCCUGUAGCCUGGGGCAAGAGUGGAGUGGACACAGAAGAGAGCAGUUGGUGUUGAAGUUGGAGAGGAAGCUAGAUCCUGCACAACCCUGUAGCCUGGGGCCAGGAGAUUGAAUCUUAGUCUAAGUUCAAUGGGAAGACUUUGGUCUCUGCUGGGCAAAGGAUGGAUGGAAGAGAGCAAGAGUAGGUGUGAAGUGAACAGUUACUAAGCUAUUGUGAUAGUCCAGAUAGGAAUGAUGAUAGCUGGAACAGGAUGCAGGGGAAGGGAAAAGAGGAUGCAGUGAGAAUGGAGAGAAAUGGUAAGAUUCAAG
Molecule: long non-coding RNA, 3691 nt
Organism: Equus asinus (donkey)
Lineage: Eukaryota; Metazoa; Chordata; Mammalia; Perissodactyla; Equidae
Source: Ensembl